GUGAUUGAGAAUUAUUUGAUCGUCCUUCUGCAAGGAGAGGGUAAAAUUAUUAUAGAAUCAAAUUGAAUUCGGAAAUAAUAAAUGGUACAAGUAGUGCAAUGCAUGCCAUAGAACGUGCAUCUUACGACUUGUACGUACGUGCACCGCACCACGGCCAUGCACUUUAAACACCCCCAAAAUUCUCGCGGCCAACGCUUACCCCUCUUCUAAUGGCGGAAAGAAUUCCGCCGCCUAUCCCCACCGCCAAAGGCGUCCGAUCCGCGGCGGAUCCGAUCCUAUCCGAACAAAUAGACCGAUCUGCUGCUCAGAUCCCCGAGCUGAAACUUCCUCAACACGUCGCUCGAUCCAAACCAGACGAAAUCAGCUACGAAUCGCUUGUGUCGGGGGAAGAUGAAUCGGUGCGAGGAUUAUUGAGAUCGGUGAGGGAUUUCGGAGCAGUUGGAAUCAGCGAUCACGGAAUUGCAACGGAGGAGCUGAGAUUCGCUUUGGGUAAUUACAGCGAUCGGAUAUUUACGGUCGAGUACCGAACCUGUUAUGUAGAUCACGAGCAGAUUGAAUGGGGCGGCGAUGAUCGCCAGAUUUCCGAAGAGGCUGCGGCGGCGAUCGGUGAGCAGAAUUAUCAGAUUUUCCGGUGAGACAAUUUUCAAAUUUCGGGUUUUACAUUUUACUUGCAAUUCGAAAAAUUCUCAACUUUGGGCC
Molecule: long non-coding RNA, 699 nt
Filed under: Salvia miltiorrhiza (redroot sage)
Lineage: Eukaryota; Viridiplantae; Streptophyta; Magnoliopsida; Lamiales; Lamiaceae
Description: long non-coding RNA (SMIL_LNC006004)
Source: RNAcentral